Molecule: ribosomal RNA, 331 nt
Filed under: uncultured bacterium
Lineage: Bacteria
Description: bacterial SSU rRNA
Rfam family: Bacterial small subunit ribosomal RNA
Source: RNAcentral
CGUGUAGGCGGCUCAUCAAGUCUGGUGUGAAAACGCAAGGCUCAACCUUGCGGAUGCGCUGGAAACUGGUGGGCUGGAGUUCUUGAGGGGAAGCUGGAAUUCCAGGUGUAGGGGUGAAAUCUGUAGAUAUCUGGAAGAACACCGGUGGCGAAGGCGAGCUUCUAUCAGAGGACUGACGCUGAGGCGCGAAAGCGUGGGGAGCAAACAGGAUUAGAUACCCUGGUAGUCCACGCUGUAAACGAUGUGCACUAGGCGUGGGGGCACGUACGUGUUCUGUGCCGUAGUUAACGUGAUAAGUGCACCGCCUGGGGAGUAUGCUCGCAAGGGUGAA